GUCUAUGGCCAUACCACCAUGAACAUGCCUGAUCUCGUCUGAUCUCGGAAGCUAAAAACGGUCGGGCCUGGUUAGUACUUGGAUGGGAAUAAAGACCAGUAUCCCUUUAUCU
RNAcentral lists this ribosomal RNA (112 nucleotides) under Prolemur simus (greater bamboo lemur). Lineage: Eukaryota; Metazoa; Chordata; Mammalia; Primates; Lemuridae. The record is from RNAcentral.